GAAAUGAGGCCAUCACUUUAGCAUUGUUUUAAGAAACAAAGCAAAUAAUCCUGCAAUUCCAUGUGAUAAUAAAGCAGGAAGAUUUCUAGACCCUAGGAACUACCAUCAAAAACUGAAACAGCCUCAAAAUUAGGAAAGGAACAACAAGCGAAUGACAUUAGGAUGACUCACAAGAAAAGUAACACACAAACACAUUCAACUCAUACAACCACAGGGAAGAAAACUCGCAGUGAUUCACAAGAAAGAAUGAGCAUGAGUUUUGAGCAAAUCAAUCUGCUUUCUUCCUUUGUUGCACAUGGAAACAAAUAUGUUUAUGGAUUGGAUCUAAAUAGACCAAGAUUAAAUUCAACUGAAGGCAAUUUUUUUUAUCAUAGAAUGCUGUAAUUUACC
This 390-nucleotide long non-coding RNA is filed under the name Fukomys damarensis (Damara mole-rat). RNAcentral describes it as "lncRNA (ENSFDAG00000025348.1)". The record is from RNAcentral. Lineage: Eukaryota; Metazoa; Chordata; Mammalia; Rodentia; Bathyergidae.